Molecule: unclassified non-coding RNA, 240 nt
Filed under: soil metagenome
Description: partial contains 5.8S ribosomal RNA, internal transcribed spacer 2, and large subunit ribosomal RNA
Source: RNAcentral
AAGACUAUAGACCUGCGGAGUACCUGCGGAAGGAUCAUUACAUGGCGGAGGAGGUGGGCACCUAGUAAAAACAAAACCCUAGGUGUGUUGCCUACCACGCUUUCUACCCUUGUCUAUUUGCACCUUUUGUCGUUCCCUCGGUGGGUCUUGAACCUGCCGGCGGCAACUUUCAAAAACCUUUUGUAGUUAGUAUCUAAUUCUUCUGAUCAAAUAUUCAAUCGUUACAACUUUUAGCAACGG